RNAcentral lists this ribosomal RNA (465 nucleotides) under Vreelandella stevensii. RNAcentral's name for it is "partial 16S ribosomal RNA". It matches the Rfam family "Bacterial small subunit ribosomal RNA", at positions 338 to 795 of the family's 1533-position model. Lineage: Bacteria; Pseudomonadati; Pseudomonadota; Gammaproteobacteria; Oceanospirillales; Halomonadaceae. The record is from RNAcentral.
CCUACGGGAGGCUGCAGUGGGGAAUAUUGGACAAUGGGGGCAACCCUGAUCCAGCCAUGCCGCGUGUGUGAAGAAGGCCCUCGGGUUGUAAAGCACUUUCAGUGAGGAAGAACGCCUGGUGGUUAAUACCCAUCAGGAAAGACAUCACUCACAGAAGAAGCACCGGCUAACUCCGUGCCAGCAGCCGCGGUAAUACGGAGGGUGCGAGCGUUAAUCGGAAUUACUGGGCGUAAAGCGCGCGUAGGUGGCUUGAUAAGCCGGUUGUGAAAGCCCCGGGCUCAACCUGGGAACGGCAUCCGGAACUGUCAAGCUAGAGUGCAGGAGAGGAAGGUAGAAUUCCCGGUGUAGCGGUGAAAUGCGUAGAGAUCGGGAGGAAUACCAGUGGCGAAGGCGGCCUUCUGGACUGACACUGACACUGAGGUGCGAAAGCGUGGGUAGCAAACAGGAUGAGAUACCCUAGUAGUC